CACGCCGUAAACGAUGAUAACUCGUUGCAGGCGAUACACAGUCUGUGACUUAGCGAAAGCGUUAAGUUAUCCACCUGGGGAGUACGUUCGCAAGAAUGAAACUCAAAGGAAUUGACGGGG
This 120-nucleotide ribosomal RNA is filed under the name uncultured bacterium. Its description in RNAcentral is "partial 16S ribosomal RNA". It matches the Rfam family "Bacterial small subunit ribosomal RNA", at positions 796 to 918 of the family's 1533-position model. The record is from RNAcentral.